UUGAACUGUUAAAACUCAAAGUCCAUCGUAUACACAACAGAUUCACUUGUGAAGUGGCGGUGACAGUAUAUUCUAUUCGCGAUCCGAAAACUUUACUACGCCGGAGAUUUCACGAGAAGAUUUCAAUCAGUGUUAAGAUGCGCAUCCGACAUAUUUUCGCACUAUUCAUAUUCAUACUGAUAGCGAUGCAAUUUUCAGACGCAAUGGACAUAGCAAAUAAAAACGACUCAGAUUAUCGAAAUAUUCUUAGAGGUAAACGGAUAGAGCCAAGAUGUGGACCAGGCGAACGUGUUGAUGCAAAUGGAAUAUGUAGAUAUGUUUAUUUUUAAUAUUAUUUGUUAAACUUUCACAGACGGCCAGUGUAAUUAUAAGUGUAAUAAAUCAGGUCAAAU
Molecule: long non-coding RNA, 392 nt
Organism: Bradysia coprophila
Lineage: Eukaryota; Metazoa; Arthropoda; Insecta; Diptera; Sciaridae
Source: RefSeq, a predicted model, not a curated record